Molecule: ribosomal RNA, 468 nt
Filed under: uncultured bacterium
Lineage: Bacteria
Description: partial 16S ribosomal RNA
Rfam family: Bacterial small subunit ribosomal RNA
Source: RNAcentral
UCCUCCCUCUGGCGGCGUGCUUAACACAUGCAAGUCGAACGGAAAGGCCCUGCUUUUGUGGGGUGCUCGAGUGGCGAACGGGUGAGUAACACGUGAGUAACCUGCCCUUGACUUUGGGAUAACUUCAGGAGACUGGGGCUAAUACCGGAUAGGAGCUCCUGCUGCAUGGUGGGGGUUGGAAAGUUUCGGCGGUUGGGGAUGGACUCGCGGCUUAUCAGCUUGUUGGUGGGGUAGUGGCUUACCAAGGCUUUGACGGGUAGCCGGCCUGAGAGGGUGACCGGCCACAUUGGGACUGAGAUACGGCCCAGACUCCUACGGGAGGCAGCAGUGGGGAAUAUUGCACAAUGGGCGGAAGCCUGAUGCAGCAACGCCGCGUGCGGGAUGACGGCCUUCGGGUUGUAAACCGCUUUCGCCUGUGACGAAGCGUGAGUGACGGUAAUGGGUAAAGAAGCACCGGCUAACUACGUG